This 409-nucleotide ribosomal RNA is filed under the name uncultured microorganism. RNAcentral describes it as "bacterial SSU rRNA". It matches the Rfam family "Archaeal small subunit ribosomal RNA", at positions 330 to 740 of the family's 1478-position model. The record is from RNAcentral.
GUGCACCAGGCGCGAAAACUUCACACUGUGCGAAAGCACGAUGAGGGAAUCCCAAGUGCUUGCACGUAAGUGUAAGCUGUUUCUCUGUCUAAAACGCAGAGAGAGUAAGGGCUGGGUAAGACGGGUGCCAGCCGCCGCGGUAAUACCUGCAGCUCAAGUGGUGACCGUUAUUAUUGGGCCUAAAACGUCCGUAGCCGGUUUAAUAAAUGCCUGGGUAAAUUGUGUAGCUUAACUAUACGAAUUCCGGGUAGACUGUUAAACUUGAGACCGGGAGAAGUUAGAGGUACUCCUGGGGUAGAGGUGAAAUUCUGUAAUCCUAGGGGGACCACCAGUGGCGAAGGCGUCUAACUAGAACGGGUCUGACGGUGAGGGACGAAGCCCUGGGGCGCAAACGGGAUUAGAUACCCCC